Molecule: long non-coding RNA, 458 nt
Organism: Brassica oleracea var. oleracea
Lineage: Eukaryota; Viridiplantae; Streptophyta; Magnoliopsida; Brassicales; Brassicaceae
Exons: 4
Source: RefSeq, a predicted model, not a curated record
AGGGAGAGAGAGAGAGAGUGAGAGAGAGAGAGAGAGAGAGAGAGAAAGCUCACCAGGAGUCCUCGCCGGAGCCACCGCACGCCAGGACGUCGUCAAGCUCGUCAUCACCAUCAACCGCAGCUCGAGGCCAUCAUCGUGUUCCUCUCGUCAAGACGAAGCCGUAGACACCAACCGCGUCACGAUCGGAGCCCGGACGAAGCCGUACGCGCCUCCGGAAGUUUCACCUCCGCGCGCGCGUGAGUUCCACGCGCCGCCGCCGGACCACCGUCCUCCGCCGCAGCGCCGCCGCCGGACCACCGUUCUCCGCCGCAGCUCCGCCGUCGCCGCCGGCCAACUUACCGAUUUGGAGUCCAUUUGAGCAGCUGGAGUUCAUAUAUACCACUUCUCUUCAUUGCUAAGGUGAGACCGACGAGCAGGAGUGAUUAUCGGACUGGUGCUAUUGGGCUUUUGGGCUUCUA